GAAAUUCGCAACGCGGGAUUGCCUAAUUUUGCAAGUCGAGCGAAUGGAUUAAGAGCUUGCUCUUAUGAAGUUAGCGGCGGACGGGUGAGUAACACGUGGGUAACCUGCCCAUAAGACUGGGAUAACUCCGGGAAACCGGGGCUAAUACCGGAUAACAUUUUGAACCGCAUGGUUCGAAAUUGAAAGGCGGCUUCGGCUGUCACUUAUGGAUGGACCCGCGUCGCAUUAGCUAGUUGGUGAGGUAACGGCUCACCAAGGCAACGAUGCGUAGCCGACCUGAGAGGGUGAUCGGCCACACUGGGACUGAGACACGGCCCAGACUCCUACGGGAGGCAGCAGUAGGGAAUCUUCCGCAAUGGACGAAAGUCUGACGGAGCACCGCCGCGUGAGUGAUGAAGGCUUUCGGGUCGUAAAACUCUGUUGUUAGGGAAGAACAAGUGCUAGUUGAAUAAGCUGGCACCUUGACGGUACCUAACCAGAAAGCCACGGCUAACUACGUGCCAGCAGCCGCGGUAAUACGUAGGUGGCAAGCGUUAUCCGGGAUUAUUGGGCGUAAAGCGCGGGGCAGGUGGUUUCUAAUUCUUGAUGUGAAACCCCAGGGC
Molecule: ribosomal RNA, 602 nt
Filed under: Bacillus cereus
Lineage: Bacteria; Bacillati; Bacillota; Bacilli; Caryophanales; Bacillaceae
Description: bacterial SSU rRNA
Rfam family: Bacterial small subunit ribosomal RNA
Source: RNAcentral